UACAAAUUUGUGGGGUUUUUAUUUCAGC
This 28-nucleotide non-coding RNA is filed under the name Rattus norvegicus (Norway rat). Lineage: Eukaryota; Metazoa; Chordata; Mammalia; Rodentia; Muridae. The record is from RNAcentral.